RNAcentral lists this ribosomal RNA (461 nucleotides) under uncultured bacterium. Its description in RNAcentral is "partial 16S ribosomal RNA". It matches the Rfam family "Bacterial small subunit ribosomal RNA", at positions 338 to 795 of the family's 1533-position model. The record is from RNAcentral.
CCUACGGGAGGCAGCAGUGAGGAAUAUUGGUCAAUGGGCUUACGCCUGAACCAGCCAAGUCGCGUGAGGGAAGACUGCCCUAUGGGUUGUAAACCUCUUUUGUCAGGGAGCAAUUGGCGCUACGUGUAGCGUUAUCGAGAGUACCUGAAGAAAAAGCAUCGGCUAACUCCGUGCCAGCAGCCGCGGUAAUACGUAGGUGGCAAGCGUUGUCCGGAAUUACUGGGUGUAAAGGGAGCGUAGGCGGGAAGCCAAGUCAGCUGUGAAAACUACGGGCUUAACCUGUAGACUGCAGUUGAAACUGGCUUUCUUGAGUGAAGUAGAGGUUGGCGGAAUUCCGAGUGUAGCGGUGAAAUGCGUAGAUAUUCGGAGGAACACCGGUGGCGAAGGCGGCCAACUGGGCUUUAACUGACGCUGAGGCUCGAAAGUGUGGGGAGCAAACAGGAUUAGAUACCCCAGUAGUC